CACUAACUGUUAGGGCGGUUUGCUGUGUCGUCCGGCCCCAGAGUUUUAACCCAGGCGGAACUAAUGAUCCCCGUCACCAGAGGGGUGGCUUGUCCCAAGCGUCUUGAGAGUGCUCAUGAAACAGCAUCUAGACAGGUUUGGGUGUUGUCAAGGAGGUGUCUACCUAACGACCUGUCUCAACCUCUUGCCAAACUCGUUCUACCCUCGUUUCAUACCCCGUUAAUUACAGGAGUGAGAAGAAUGGCAAAUGGUCCGCUCAUUGAAGCUUAUUGGAGCAUGAAUUGUAAUUGCCCGUCACAUAAUAUGCUGUAAAGGAACGACUUCAGUGUAGAAACGCAUGGGUCAUUCAACUAUUGUCAAAUACUAAACAACGAUGGCGCUGUUUUAUUCACAAGAUCACCUAUGUUAAGAAGUUCAAGAUGUCUCAGUAGGUUCACGGUUCAUCAGCUGACAUCAAACGCUAGAUGUAGCAGGUCUCCGGGUACCAAAUACAACACAUGGCCAUAUUUGCUGCUUGGUAGAUGGAUGGAUGCAAUGAAGGACCUGCACCUGACACGGCAUUUUGCACGGACCUAAAAAAACAGAACACCUGGCGAAAUCUUCGACUUCACAAUCAGCAUUGCACUGCCGACCCUGUCCACGUUGACCACAACCACGAUGGUUUCGAGUGCUAAGGAAGACGGCCCCUGCCCUCCGCACUCAGCGUCACAGUCCAAACAUUUCUCAAGAACAUAUCUGUGGUCAGUUGACACGGAACGCCUUGUGAUACCAUGACCAUCAUUAUGUGACAGGUAGGCGUGGAAACCAUCAACGCCCGUAACAUCAUCGUCAUUAUCAUCAACAAGACAAAUCAGUCGCGUCAGUGGAUCUGACCUAUAUUCAGAAAGAAACUAGAAGACAAGGCAUAUAAUUCCUCCACCCCCCACUGAGACUCCACUUCAAAUAUUCAUGUAUAGGACACAGUCCAUCAUCAUACUUGGUACAUAGAAGAUAGCUGUCACUUGAGACCAACAAAACAAAACCCAAACAAUUCCCAACCAUUCUCCAGUAACGAAGUAAUGUAUAAUGUAUUAGAGGCUCUGCCAGACAGACGCUUGAUGCUUGUGUCGCCGUCUCCGGGAAGCGCCAGUACUUAUGUAUACGCCAAGGAGAAGGCCAAUUCUGGAUUAUUUAACUUCAUUCACCAAAGGGGGUAUAAAUUGUACUUAGAAUCAAUACUUUUCAACAUUCUGGCUUGUGAGGCCCGACAAUUUGUUGUUCUGCGGCGGAGUUUGGGGGUGAGACGUUAAUGGGGUUGCUUGACAAUGUAUCAAAAACAGGAAUUAGUCCCUAGAAAUGCUUGAAACAUAUGAUCAAAACAAAUGAUGUGCUAUGAACAAUGCAUCAUAGCCAGAUGUAUUCAGGCACAUAGUUCCAUGUAAACAUAUAAGGUUUUGUCGCAGGAGCUAACAAUAUCACCAUACUAUCUAGAGUCACCAUACUUUCUAGAGUCACCAUACUAUCUA
Long non-coding RNA from Haliotis rubra (blacklip abalone), 1505 nucleotides. RefSeq lists it as uncharacterized. NCBI's taxonomy places the organism in Eukaryota, Metazoa, Mollusca, Gastropoda, Lepetellida, Haliotidae. The record is from RefSeq and is a predicted model, not a curated record. The transcript has 7 exons.